RNAcentral lists this transfer RNA (86 nucleotides) under Chloroflexota bacterium. RNAcentral's name for it is "tRNA-Ser". It matches the Rfam family "tRNA". From Rfam's summary of the family: Transfer RNA (tRNA) molecules are approximately 80 nucleotides in length. Their secondary structure includes four short double-helical elements and three loops (D, anti-codon, and T loops). Lineage: Bacteria; Bacillati; Chloroflexota. The record is from RNAcentral. RNAcentral also lists the same sequence under 3 other names.
GGAGAGGUGUCCGAGCGGUUUAAGGUGCUGCUCUCGAAAAGCAGUGUGGUUAAUAGCCACCGCGGGUUCGAAUCCCGCCCUCUCCG